AUGAAGUGCUACCACGAUACCUUUGCACUGCAGCUGUUCCUUCAUCUACUCUAUGUCAAUCCCCACAGGGCUACGGCGGAACUGGAAACCCUAUGCCGUGUCCUAGAGGAGAACAGAAACAAUACUGCUAAGAUGCUGCUUAUGGUCUGCUACAACGAGCUCCCUAGCCAUCACAAGAGCUGCUUGAUGUACCUAUCAAUCUUUCCUCAAGGACACAUAAUCAUGAGAGCUGAUCUGCUGAGGAGAUGGGUCUGUGAAGGACUGAUAACCAAAAGAAGCGCAGGGACGAGCACGCUGCAUGAUCAGGCCGAGCGCAUCUUCGACUCACUGGUCACUCGAGGCUUUAUAUGUCCAGGAGAAAUCAGCUCUGCAGGCAAGAUUAAGAGCUUUACAUUGAAUUCUAUUGUUCAUGACUUCAUCGUUACAGAUGUAGGCUUCGUGGAUACAUCAUCACGGCCUGAGCUAGCUCACCGCUUCUCCAUCAACAGUGGGGUAGCAAUACAGGAAGAACCUCUUUCUGAGUCUGAUUCUGAUCCAUCCGGCCAUGGCAUCUUAACUACAAUUGAGUCUCUGACUGAAUCUGAUCAAUGGCAGUUUCUGAAGGUGCUGGAUCUUCGAGGCUGCAAAGGGCUGCAGAAGAAGCAUCUAAACAGUAUUUGCAAAAUACUGCUGCUCAAGUACUUGAGCCUCAGGAACACAGAUGUCGCUGAACUGCCGAAGGACAUUGAGAAGUUGCAGUGCCUGCAGACAUUGGAUAUCCGGCAGACAGCGGUACGGGUACUUGCCACAAAAUCUGUUGUGCUUCCAAUGCUAAAGCAUCUGCUUGCUGGGAAGAGAGACUCUCCGACUCCAAACAAUGACUCUGAAUCUGAUACUGAUAGGUUUGAAGAGUCGUUUGCGGCGGUGCGCCUUCCCAGGAGCAUCCGAAGAAUGGAAAAACUUGAGGUGCUCUCCCAUGUUGAAGUUGCCCACAGUGAUGAUCUGACUGACGUCGGCAAGCUGCUACGUCUUAGAAAGCUUGGGGUGAUUCUCCAGGGUAAGAAAGAAGAAUUGGAACUUCUGUUCCAGCAGAUCGAAAAAUUGAAGGGUUGCCUCCGCUCCCUGUCAAUCCAGAUGGACCAGCACACAAAAAGCGAGGGCGAAUUGCCCUCACCUCCAAAAAAUCUUCAGAGCCUGAACAUCCGCAGCAUCACAGGUGGGCUUUACCUGUGGAUUGCAGGGCAUGACCAACUCACCAAGGUAACACUGAGCGAGACCGGCCUUGGGGAAGAGGCUCUACGCAUCCUUGGCCAGCUUAGGAUCCUGCGCUGCCUCAGGCUUCGACGCAAGUCUUACGUCGAGAGCCAACUCAAAUUCAAAAAAGAAGAAUUCAAGAGCCUCAAGUCUCUAGUUGUCGAGGGCAGUGACAUCACCAGCAUCACCUUUGAGACUGGGGCAGCUCCUAAGAUGGAGAUGAUUUUCUGGUCUUUUGUCUCCAUGGAAAUUCCUUCUGGACUUAAUCGCCUACCAAGUUGA
This 1515-nucleotide ribosomal RNA is filed under the name Triticum aestivum (bread wheat). RNAcentral's name for it is "partial small subunit ribosomal RNA". Lineage: Eukaryota; Viridiplantae; Streptophyta; Magnoliopsida; Poales; Poaceae. The record is from RNAcentral.